This is a long non-coding RNA of Amaranthus tricolor (Joseph's coat), 203 nucleotides long. RefSeq lists it as uncharacterized. The record is from RefSeq and is a predicted model, not a curated record. The transcript is spliced from 3 exons. Lineage: Eukaryota; Viridiplantae; Streptophyta; Magnoliopsida; Caryophyllales; Amaranthaceae.
ACCUUAAUGGAUGAAAGCAUACUUGGUAAGAGAAAGAAAAGAAGCAACUUUGUUAGUAGAAUUGAAGUGGGCUUGCAAGUGAAUGAAGCUUUAGAUCCACAACCAAGGCAAACUAUCACUCGAAAGGAGGUGGAGCAAGUUAAUGGUGAUGAGAUAGAUAGAAAUACAGCAACUAGUAAGAUCAAAGGAAGAGGUAAGAGAGG